This 495-nucleotide long non-coding RNA is filed under the name Androctonus crassicauda. Lineage: Eukaryota; Metazoa; Arthropoda; Arachnida; Scorpiones; Buthidae. The record is from RNAcentral.
AUUACAUAAGUAUGUAUUGGUUUCUAACUAAUUAAAAUAUUUUGAAUUUUUUUUUUUUAAAUAAGGAAUUAUGAUCAUUUCAAACUUCAGUGCAUGUCUCAUAUUGAGUACAUUAUUAUUAAUGACUAUUCAUGCAAAAGGACAAUCUUGCUCAACAAAGCUUCUAGGAAAAGGAAUGAAAGCAACAUUCUGCAUUCCAAAAAUAUCCCUUGCAUUGCUUGCUCAGGAGAUUUGGCUUGCUAUUGUGGGUGGGUCUUAUCAUCCACCAGUAUAAAUUCUGGACCUAUUCCAUUUGCCUUAAAGAGCAUAUAGUUCAAGGAUCUCAUCUUCCUAACAUUGUCCAUUCAAAGUGCCUCCCUCAAAGAUAUGGAGAGAAAUCUUCAAGAUCUGUGCAGUCAUUGAUAAUGAUCAUCUUGCCCAUAUUAAUAGAUCUUCACUUUUAAAAUGAUAGCCAUCAAACAUUAAAGAAAUUCGAUAUCUUAUACUAUGUUCUCU